CCAGAUGACCCGGCCGAAAAACAAAAAGAACCACACAAACACCCUCUCUGAGAUAACCACUAUUACAUUCAAAGUGAGACAUCUAAGUAUUUGAAAUGACAUAUGGAAAUCAAAGCCCCCAUGGAGCACUCCGCCUGCAGAAGUGGUUCCAACACUGGAACAAAGUGACAUUACAAAACAGAAUUGGGCCAUUUGGUAGAUCAGUAGUUUUUCCCAUAGUGCAAGCAGAAGCAGAUGAUCAUAGGGGUGUGAGAAGGGAAAGACCCUCAGUCAUCUCAACAAUCCACCUCAACAGUCUCAACAAGAUGAGGCACUACUCCAUUUUGCUGUGUUCAUCUUAGGCCUCCAUACUGCCUUCUGUAAUUGUAUUUUUUGCUGCUUUUUCUCUGUCCUCCCCACUUUGCAAGGUAAGAAAUGUCAGAUGUCUUACACAGCCUCUGAAA
Pipra filicauda (Wire-tailed manakin) is the source of this 443-nucleotide long non-coding RNA. RefSeq lists it as uncharacterized. The transcript is spliced from 3 exons. The record is from RefSeq and is a predicted model, not a curated record. NCBI's taxonomy places the organism in Eukaryota, Metazoa, Chordata, Aves, Passeriformes, Pipridae.